This 333-nucleotide ribosomal RNA is filed under the name uncultured prokaryote. RNAcentral describes it as "partial 16S ribosomal RNA". The record is from RNAcentral.
CCAGCAAUCUUGAACACUCAUCCUUAAUACCUUUCUUUUUGGGGUAAUUAUACUCAUCGCGAAUAUCCUUAAGAGGGCGUUCAGCAGCCAGCUUGCGGCAAAACUGCGUAACCGUCUUCUCGUUCUCUAAAAACCAUUUUUCGUCCCCUUCGGGGCGGUGGUCUAUAGUGUUAUUAAUAUCAAGUUGGGGAGCACAUUGUAGCAUUGUGCCAAUUCAUCCAUUAACUUCUCAGUAACAGAUACAAACUCAUCACGAACGUCAGAAGCAGCCUUAUGGCCGUCAACAUACAUAUCACCAUUAUCGAACUCAACGCCCUGCAUACGAAAAGACAG